CAGUAGCCGCGGGAAUACGAAGGGUGCAAGCGUUAAUCGGAAUUACUGGGCGUAAAGCGUGCGUAGGUGGUGGUUUAAGUCCGUUGUGAAAGCCCUGGGCUCAACCUGGGAAUUGCAGUGGAUACUGGGUCACUAGAGUGUGGUAGAGGAUAGUGGAAUUUCCGGUGUAGCAGUGAAAUGCGUAGAGAUCGGAAGGAACAUCUGUGGCGAAGGCGACUAUCUGGGCCAACACUGACACUGAGGCACGAAAGCGUGGGGAGCAAACAGGAUUAGAUACCCCGGUAGUCCCUGUCUCUUAUAC
RNAcentral lists this ribosomal RNA (301 nucleotides) under uncultured bacterium. RNAcentral's name for it is "partial 16S ribosomal RNA". It matches the Rfam family "Bacterial small subunit ribosomal RNA", at positions 509 to 807 of the family's 1533-position model. The record is from RNAcentral.